UACGGGGGGGGCAAGCGUUGUUCGGAAUUACUGGGCGUAAAGGGCUCGUAGGCGGCCAACUAAGUCAUACGUGAAAUCCCCCGGCUUAACCGGGGAACUGCGUCUGAUACUGGAUGGCUUGAGUUCGGGAGAGGGAUGCGGAAUUCCAGGUGUAGCGGUGAAAUGCGUAGAUAUCUGGAGGAACACCGGUGGCGAAGGCGGCAUCCUGGACCGAUACUGACGCUGAGGAGCGAAAGCCAGGGGAGCAAACAGG
This 253-nucleotide ribosomal RNA is filed under the name uncultured bacterium. Its description in RNAcentral is "partial 16S ribosomal RNA". It matches the Rfam family "Bacterial small subunit ribosomal RNA", at positions 524 to 776 of the family's 1533-position model. The record is from RNAcentral.